This 2921-nucleotide ribosomal RNA is filed under the name Staphylococcus aureus OCMM6049. RNAcentral's name for it is "bacterial LSU rRNA". It matches the Rfam family "Bacterial large subunit ribosomal RNA". RNAcentral also lists the same sequence under 2 other names. The record is from RNAcentral. Lineage: Bacteria; Bacillati; Bacillota; Bacilli; Caryophanales; Staphylococcaceae.
UUAAGUUAUUAAGGGCGCACGGUGGAUGCCUUGGCACUAGAAGCCGAUGAAGGACGUUACUAACGACGAUAUGCUUUGGGGAGCUGUAAGUAAGCUUUGAUCCAGAGAUUUCCGAAUGGGGAAACCCAGCAUGAGUUAUGUCAUGUUAUCGAUAUGUGAAUACAUAGCAUAUCAGAAGGCACACCCGGAGAACUGAAACAUCUUAGUACCCGGAGGAAGAGAAAGAAAAUUCGAUUCCCUUAGUAGCGGCGAGCGAAACGGGAAGAGCCCAAACCAACAAGCUUGCUUGUUGGGGUUGUAGGACACUCUAUACGGAGUUACAAAGGACGACAUUAGACGAAUCAUCUGGAAAGAUGAAUCAAAGAAGGUAAUAAUCCUGUAGUCGAAAAUGUUGUCUCUCUUGAGUGGAUCCUGAGUACGACGGAGCACGUGAAAUUCCGUCGGAAUCUGGGAGGACCAUCUCCUAAGGCUAAAUACUCUCUAGUGACCGAUAGUGAACCAGUACCGUGAGGGAAAGGUGAAAAGCACCCCGGAAGGGGAGUGAAAUAGAACCUGAAACCGUGUGCUUACAAGUAGUCAGAGCCCGUUAAUGGGUGAUGGCGUGCCUUUUGUAGAAUGAACCGGCGAGUUACGAUUUGAUGCAAGGUUAAGCAGUAAAUGUGGAGCCGUAGCGAAAGCGAGUCUGAAUAGGGCGUUUAGUAUUUGGUCGUAGACCCGAAACCAGGUGAUCUACCCUUGGUCAGGUUGAAGUUCAGGUAACACUGAAUGGAGGACCGAACCGACUUACGUUGAAAAGUGAGCGGAUGAACUGAGGGUAGCGGAGAAAUUCCAAUCGAACCUGGAGAUAGCUGGUUCUCUCCGAAAUAGCUUUAGGGCUAGCCUCAAGUGAUGAUUAUUGGAGGUAGAGCACUGUUUGGACGAGGGGCCCCUCUCGGGUUACCGAAUUCAGACAAACUCCGAAUGCCAAUUAAUUUAACUUGGGAGUCAGAACAUGGGUGAUAAGGUCCGUGUUCGAAAGGGAAACAGCCCAGACCACCAGCUAAGGUCCCAAAAUAUAUGUUAAGUGGAAAAGGAUGUGGCGUUGCCCAGACAACUAGGAUGUUGGCUUAGAAGCAGCCAUCAUUUAAAGAGUGCGUAAUAGCUCACUAGUCGAGUGACACUGCGCCGAAAAUGUACCGGGGCUAAACAUAUUACCGAAGCUGUGGAUUGUCCUUUGGACAAUGGUAGGAGAGCGUUCUAAGGGCGUUGAAGCAUGAUCGUAAGGACAUGUGGAGCGCUUAGAAGUGAGAAUGCCGGUGUGAGUAGCGAAAGACGGGUGAGAAUCCCGUCCACCGAUUGACUAAGGUUUCCAGAGGAAGGCUCGUCCGCUCUGGGUUAGUCGGGUCCUAAGCUGAGGCCGACAGGCGUAGGCGAUGGAUAACAGGUUGAUAUUCCUGUACCACCUAUAAUCGUUUUAAUCGAUGGGGGGACGCAGUAGGAUAGGCGAAGCGUGCGAUUGGAUUGCACGUCUAAGCAGUAAGGCUGAGUAUUAGGCAAAUCCGGUACUCGUUAAGGCUGAGCUGUGAUGGGGAGAAGACAUUGAGUCUUCGAGUCGUUGAUUUCACACUGCCGAGAAAAGCCUCUAGAUAGAAAAUAGGUGCCCGUACCGCAAACCGACACAGGUAGUCAAGAUGAGAAUUCUAAGGUGAGCGAGCGAACUCUCGUUAAGGAACUCGGCAAAAUGACCCCGUAACUUCGGGAGAAGGGGUGCUCUUUAGGGUUAACGCCCAGAAGAGCCGCAGUGAAUAGGCCCAAGCGACUGUUUAUCAAAAACACAGGUCUCUGCUAAACCGUAAGGUGAUGUAUAGGGGCUGACGCCUGCCCGGUGCUGGAAGGUUAAGAGGAGUGGUUAGCUUCUGCGAAGCUACGAAUCGAAGCCCCAGUAAACGGCGGCCGUAACUAUAACGGUCCUAAGGUAGCGAAAUUCCUUGUCGGGUAAGUUCCGACCCGCACGAAAGGCGUAACGAUUUGGGCACUGUCUCAACGAGAGACUCGGUGAAAUCAUAGUACCUGUGAAGAUGCAGGUUACCCGCGACAGGACGGAAAGACCCCGUGGAGCUUUACUGUAGCCUGAUAUUGAAAUUCGGCACAGCUUGUACAGGAUAGGUAGGAGCCUUUGAAACGUGAGCGCUAGCUUACGUGGAGGCGCUGGUGGGAUACUACCCUAGCUGUGUUGGCUUUCUAACCCGCACCACUUAUCGUGGUGGGAGACAGUGUCAAGCGGGCAGUUUGACUGGGGCGGUCGCCUCCUAAAAGGUAACGGAGGCGCUCAAAGGUUCCCUCAGAAUGGUUGGAAAUCAUUCAUAGAGUGCAAAGGCAUAAGGGAGCUUGACUGCGAGACCUACAAGUCGAGCAGGGUCGAAAGACGGACUUAGUGAUCCGGUGGUUCCGCAUGGAAGGGCCAUCGCUCAACGGAUAAAAGCUACCCCGGGGAUAACAGGCUUAUCUCCCCCAAGAGUUCACAUCGACGGGGAGGUUUGGCACCUCGAUGUCGGCUCAUCGCAUCCUGGGGCUGUAGUCGGUCCCAAGGGUUGGGCUGUUCGCCCAUUAAAGCGGUACGCGAGCUGGGUUCAGAACGUCGUGAGACAGUUCGGUCCCUAUCCGUCGUGGGCGUAGGAAAUUUGAGAGGAGCUGUCCUUAGUACGAGAGGACCGGGAUGGACAUACCUCUGGUGUACCAGUUGUCGUGCCAACGGCAUAGCUGGGUAGCUAUGUGUGGACGGGAUAAGUGCUGAAAGCAUCUAAGCAUGAAGCCCCCCUCAAGAUGAGAUUUCCCAACUUCGGUUAUAAGAUCCCUCAAAGAUGAUGAGGUUAAUAGGUUCGAGGUGGAAGCAUGGUGACAUGUGGAGCUGACGAAUACUAAUCGAUCGAAGACUUAAUCAA